This 722-nucleotide long non-coding RNA is filed under the name Vombatus ursinus (common wombat). RNAcentral's name for it is "lncRNA (ENSVURG00010016683.1)". The record is from RNAcentral. Lineage: Eukaryota; Metazoa; Chordata; Mammalia; Diprotodontia; Vombatidae.
CUCAGUGGGGCCCGGACGUUCCUUCGAGCCUUUUGUUCGUGGGUCUGCUCUGCAGCGCAGGGCGUUUGACUGUCUUCAGGAGCCUGGGAUGAGAUUUGUGAUUGGGGCGAUUGUGCCAUCCCAGAAGUGCCAGCAGAAAGGUUCCCUCCUGGGGAGACAGAGACUCGUGUGGUGAUGGUCCCAGCCAGAGCGCCCUUGAGUUUGUAUGCUCCCCUUCUCUAGGAAGGUGAAGGCCAAGCAGUCUGAGCAGUGACUUAUGUGACAGGGAGGAUCCUUGGGACGAAGGCAUCCCUGAUGGGAGGAGACACGGCUACCCUGAGGCCCUUGGUAGCAGCUUCAGGACAGGCUGAUGGGAAAGGACGCUCUUGGAGUGGCUCAUGCUGAAGGGGGACGCUCUUCUCACCAUCUUGCCUUUGCAGUAAAGCCAGAGCAUCCAGGAACAGCCGGGCAGAGGUGAUCAUGGAGAGUUUGGCCCAAAUAUUUGAGAGAGAUCUGCCUUCUCAAGACUCUUACCUUCCCCAGGAAAGGAGCACAGAGCAGGAGGAAGGAAUGACCUCUGAUCUCCUGUCAGACAGAGCCCGGGUGAGUUGGAUUUUUUUCUCUCUCCCAAAUGCUGGGUCAUUUCUUAGAGCAGAUAGGUCACCUUCCCUUACCUUUGGUCUUUGCCCAACGAUGUCCUGUUGAGGCACCGGAGCCCCAGUUUUUCUUGCCAAGAAAAUGAG